Long non-coding RNA from Syngnathus acus (greater pipefish), 457 nucleotides. RefSeq lists it as uncharacterized. NCBI's taxonomy places the organism in Eukaryota, Metazoa, Chordata, Actinopteri, Syngnathiformes, Syngnathidae. The record is from RefSeq and is a predicted model, not a curated record. The transcript is spliced from 2 exons.
CAAGUGACAUUUUCUUUUGACCUUUUGAUGAUCAGAAACAAUAUUGUAUGACCACAAAUCCCUCUGACUGCAAUUACAAAUUUGAAAUGAAUGUUGUCUGCGUUUUGGGAUAUCAAGACCAAUGUGAUCUUGCUAAUCCAAAUCUAGAAUAUGAUAUCUAUUCGAGAAUGCAUCGCGUAGGGUGCAAGUCUGUCAAAUGAAGAAUGUGCUUCCUUAAAUUGCACGUAUUAUAAGCAGUCAUGUUUGUGCUUCCCCUACUUAUCAAAUGAAUGAAGUUCAAGAACAACAGAGCUCUCUCGACUUGUCUGAAUGCAAAUUCCCAUAUACGGUUCAAGUCCUAGACCAGACUUACCAAAUGUAGUUUAGGGUGUAGUCUACAUGUAUAGCAGUUAAACUAGUUGUACGUCGUUAUUAUAAAUAUAAUGACAACGAUGCCAAGUGGCAAAAGGUUGGGUAA